AGGAGUUCUGGUGGGGCCAUGUGAAUAGUAAUUCCAGGGAAAAAAUCACCCCGCACCUCCGCUCCCCUUCCUCCCCAUUCUUUUCGCAGGCGACGGGAGCGAGGCGGGGCAAUUGCGGCGCUGAUUCAUCGUCAAAGGAAGGCCAAUCAUGGGCGCAGCUCGCCGGCGACCACGGAGGUAACCACCGCACCACCGGCUACUUUUUUCGCAUUCGAUUUCGACGUUAUUUCAUGGCACAGAGCGGGGCAAUCGGGAUCUACGUUUUCGACGCGGGGUGUUCCGGUGGUGUCGCCGGUGAUGCGCACGAGCAUGGGAGGUGGACGAUUGACCCGUACGGCAUCCACGCCGGACGAGCGGCCCCUGUGAGAGAUGUGUGCUGAAAUUGAGGGUGUGGGUGGUUGCGAAGAGGCCGUGGGUCAAUUGUGGUACAGCCAGAGCUGGGCUCCUUCGCUGUGAGCGCCGUGGCCGGGAGGAGCUUCCUCGCCACUAUUCCUUGGCGAGUAACGUAGAGAAUAGUUCCAAACAAUAAUGGGCCAGCUGCUUGUUUCCAUUGCUUCGUCUUCCAGCUGGGAUUGGAGGAACAACAGUCUCCAUCAUCAGCCUAGUUAUUAGUCUCUUCUACGUUUGUGACAAAUCCUUUUGAUGUUCUGACUUUGUUGUGUUGUUCCAAACUAUAAUGUAUGAAACCCACUUGUUUUCCUGAAAAUCAAGAGUGGUAAAAAUUCAUAAAAAAUAUGCAGGAUUGGAAGUUCAGAACAGUCCAUUUGUUGCAGUUGCAGGUUACUGGUAAUUUCUUUCACCCGCAAAAAAAAAGGGUUACUGGUAGAAAUCAGCAUCUCAAGUUUGAAAUUGUGUAAGCGUAAUGAGGCACAAAAGCUAUUAACCAGCAUUGGACAAAUUAAUGAGGGAGAGAGAGAGAGAUUUGUACUACAUGCCAUCUGCUUGGUGCCAGGCGGAAGGAUGAAUUAGUCCUCACCAUAGAAAUCGACACUAUUCCUCGCUGCUAUUUUUUCAGACAGUUUUUGUUUUUGACAUAUCUCACACAACAGGAGGUAGCCGCAGUGGCUUAGCCAGCCCCGAGACAAUGGGUGUACCUAUUUCCCUAAAAUUCAGAAUACUAGAGUUUUAAAUUUAUUUGAUGCAUAUAGGAUACUAUACAUGCGUCGUCAACGUUUUUGCAAAAUUAAUGGGUGUCCAUUUGUACAUACACCCAAAAAGACAUUUAGUUCCACCAAUGGGUACCCGUGGUUUUUUUAGAUAUCCUUUUUGAUAAAAUGCUUUUCUUUUGAUUUCAUUCAGAUAUCAUGCAUGUUUUUUUGACACUUUGUUAUUCAAAAACCAGGCUGCUCCAUCGACCAGCACUGUCGGAUGUAAGUGUUGUUGAACGGAACGAAACUCGAACCGUGGCACACACGUAUAAGAGCGCACAAAAGAUGAAGUUGAUGAAGUUAAAUAAGGAAGACAAGCAAAAUGGAAUUUUAUGGAAGGUUGCUCCAGUUUUUAACAUGGUUGCCUGGAAUUACAGGGAAAGAUGCUUUAAUUUUUACAGAAUUGAUAGGGGCUUCUUCCAGUUUUCUUCAGUCUACCAUCUUUAUUUUGUAUCAUUCCCAGACUGAUUCUUACUGUUAGGGAACUGUUCGCAACUAGUUGCUCCUGUUUUUAUCACGAGUUGCCUACAAUUACAAUUAGAGUUGCUUCGGUUUUUUAGUGAUGCAGGAAAUGGUGAUUUAUGGGCCUAACUUAUUACCAUUGCAAAUUGAUUGGGUAGUUUUAUUCC
Molecule: long non-coding RNA, 1777 nt
Filed under: Triticum aestivum (bread wheat)
Lineage: Eukaryota; Viridiplantae; Streptophyta; Magnoliopsida; Poales; Poaceae
Description: long non-coding RNA (TAES_LNC000768)
Source: RNAcentral